Molecule: ribosomal RNA, 492 nt
Filed under: uncultured bacterium
Lineage: Bacteria
Description: partial 16S ribosomal RNA
Rfam family: Bacterial small subunit ribosomal RNA
Source: RNAcentral
AGUGAACGCUGGCGGUAGGCCUAACACAUGCAAGUCGAACGGCAGCACAGUAAGAGCUUGCUCUUACGGGUGGCGAGUGGCGGACGGGUGAGGAAUACAUCGGAAUCUACUUUUUGGUGGGGGAUAACGUAGGGAAACUUACGCUAAUACCGCAUACGACCUACGGGUGAAAGCAGGGGAUCUUCGGACCUUGCGCGAUUGAAUGAGCCGAUGUCGGAUUAGCUAGUUGGCGGGGUAAAGGCCCACCAAGGCGACGAUCCGUAGCUGGUCUGAGAGGAUGAUCAGCCACACUGGAACUGAGACACGGUCCAGACUCCUACGGGAGGCAGCAGUGGGGAAUAUUGGACAAUGGGCGCAAGCCUGAUCCAGCCAUACCGCGUGGGUGAAGAAGGCCUUCGGGUUGUAAAGCCCUUUUGUUGGGAAAGAAAAGCAGCAGGUUAAUACCCCGCCGUUCUGACGGUACCCAAAGAAUAAGCGCCGGCUAACUUCGUG